Phascolarctos cinereus (koala) is the source of this 1233-nucleotide non-coding RNA. The record is from RefSeq and is a predicted model, not a curated record. Lineage: Eukaryota; Metazoa; Chordata; Mammalia; Diprotodontia; Phascolarctidae.
UAACUGUGAUAUUUGACCUUGUAUUGGCAAACAGACCUUGAUGGAAAAUACACUUAAAACAUGGCAGUAAGGAAUAUUUCCCAUCUAGUUGGUUCUGAACCUGGCUGUGAUACCCUGUGAAUAAUGUAGAACUUUGUUGCAUGAUCAGCUAUCCUAAAGCAGGUUCAAGCAGUAUUGCUUAGGAAACCUCCAUGAGGGUAAUGGAACCUGGAAAGUCAAUCUACUGGAAGAAACACCUCUGCUAAGCUGACCUGGAAACAAGGCUCGGACCAGGUACUGUUAACAACUGACAACCCAGUUAAUGGCACCAGGAUGUUGAGUCAGGGAUUUAUGUCUCUGAGUUUUGUGGACCAAAGUGGAUAGAGGUCAAGAACAAACCUCACUGACAUAGAAUUUCUAAGGGAAAAUGUUUCCCAGAAGCAGAAGACUUCAUGAAGUAGACAGCUAAACCCAAGACAACCAAAUAAGAAAUCUUUUUUUAAGUGAACAUUAACUGAAUGUUGCACAUAUGCGUUUGACCAAACCCUUAAUUGCACCUGAAUUGCACUGGGGAGUCAGGGAAGGGUCUGCAGGAGAUUAAACAUGAAGGAAUAUGUGACUGGGACAUUUGUAUUUGGUUGCCUAGAAUAGGCUCAAUCACAAAUUCUGAAAACUCCAUGUUAUAUAAUACUAAUAACUUGUAUUGAUUUUGCUUUAUUAUUGCUUUCAAUGCUUCCCAAUACUUGUAUCUGCCUGUGGAAAUACAAGGUAUCCAGAAAGGAGAGCAACAGGAUGUAUGAAAAUGUGGCCAAGAUGCAUGUCUUAUGUAAUCUAUGACCAAAGUGGAGACUGUCCUAAGAGAAUUUCUGGCUUAAUUUUCCUGCUAUCAUUUACUUAAGUUAAACUGGUCACACAACCAUCAAGAGUCUGUAAAAUCAAGCUGAGACAUCAACUAUAGCCCUAGUGUUAUCUAAAUAAUUUCUGCUCUGUUUGCCAAUUCCAGCUUGAGACAGCAGUUCUAACUCUAGUGUUUGCUGACCAGUAUCCUAAUUUACCUGGUAUAGAUCUUGUCCCUGUGCCAUAAGUUCUUUAAUGUGUAAGUCAUUGCCUUCCUCUUCUGUUUUCUGUGAAAUUCCUUUGUACCUGACCUGUCUAUGUAACCAAAACCAACAUAAGGUUGCUGAAAUGGAUGUUCUAGGCUAAUUGAUUUCUUUAUACAAUGAUGCCUACACUCUGAGUAAAGUGAACCAGUUU